CUGUCAAGGGUCAAGGGUAUACGAGUAGCUGCGCUCCCCUGCUAGAAUCCCCAAACAAGCUCUCAAGAGUAAGGCCACCAACUACAGUGGGAGUUGCUUAUGUACUGGCCAGACAAUUAAUU
Cricetulus griseus (Chinese hamster) is the source of this 122-nucleotide unclassified non-coding RNA. Its record names the gene 7SK. It matches the Rfam family "7SK RNA". Rfam says of the family: 7SK was discovered as an abundant small nuclear RNA in the mid-70s but a possible function has only recently been suggested. Two independent studies have found that 7SK RNA binds the CDK9/cyclin T complex (known as elongation factor P-TEFb). P-TEFb activates transcription by phosphorylating the C-terminal domain of RNA polymerase II. NCBI's taxonomy places the organism in Eukaryota, Metazoa, Chordata, Mammalia, Rodentia, Cricetidae. The record is from Ensembl.